This 482-nucleotide ribosomal RNA is filed under the name uncultured bacterium. RNAcentral describes it as "partial 16S ribosomal RNA". It matches the Rfam family "Bacterial small subunit ribosomal RNA", at positions 28 to 523 of the family's 1533-position model. The record is from RNAcentral.
GACGAACGCUGGCGGCGUGCUUAACACAUGCAAGUCGAACGAUGAAACCUAGCUUGCUAGGUCGAUUAGUGGCGAACGGGUGAGUAACACGUGACUAACCUGCCCCUUUCUCUGGGAUAACGCUCCGAAAGGAGUGCUAAUACCGGAUACUCACACCGAGGCACAUGCCUUGGUGUGGAAAGUUUUUCGGAAAGGGAUGGAGUCGCGGCCUAUCAGCUUGUUGGUGAGGUAACGGCUCACCAGGGCGACGACGGGUAGCCGGCCUGAGAGGGGGACCGGCCACACUGGGACUGAGACACGGCCCAGACUCCUACGGGAGGCAGCAGUGGGGAAUAUUGCACAAUGGGCGCAAGCCUGAUGCAGCGACGCCGCGUGAGGGAUGAAGGUCUUCAGAUUGUAAACCUCUUUCAGUAGGGACGGAGCGAAAGUGACGGUACCUAAAGAAGAAGCACCGGCUAACUACGUGCCAGCCGCCGCCGUAA